UACAGAGGGGGCAAGCGUUGUUCGGAAUUACUGGGCGUAAAGGGCGCGUAGGCGGCCGCCUAAGUCAGACGUGAAAUCCCUCGGCUCAACCGGGGAACUGCGUCUGAUACUGGGUGGCUUGAAUCCGGGAGAGGGAUGCGGAAUUCCAGGUGUAGCGGUGAAAUGCGCAGAUAUCAGGAGGAACACCGGUGGCGAAGGCGGGUCUCUGGGCCGAUACUGACGCUGAGGAGCGAAAGCGUGGGGAGCAAACAGG
This 253-nucleotide ribosomal RNA is filed under the name uncultured bacterium. RNAcentral's name for it is "partial 16S ribosomal RNA". It matches the Rfam family "Bacterial small subunit ribosomal RNA", at positions 524 to 776 of the family's 1533-position model. The record is from RNAcentral.